Molecule: long non-coding RNA, 210 nt
Filed under: Phoenix dactylifera (date palm)
Lineage: Eukaryota; Viridiplantae; Streptophyta; Magnoliopsida; Arecales; Arecaceae
Description: long non-coding RNA (PDAC_LNC012115)
Source: RNAcentral
GCGGAAAGCCAUACUGCACCUCGCGGGAUCUUACUAUGCCCGACGGCAAGCAGAAUAUAAGUCGUAGGACUGGCCGAUCCUACGCCUAGGGCCGUGUCCCCCCUAGGAAGGGACUGGGCUCCGCCCACCCAGAAGGCUACUAUGUGCACACAGGCCGAUGUUCAACCCCAUCGACUAUAGGUGUCCUGUAGAUACUGCCAAGCCAUGCAU